UACGAAGGGGGCUAGCGUUGCUCGGAAUGACUGGGCGUAAAGGGCGCGUAGGCGGAUGGCACAGGCAGAUGUGAAAUUCCCGGGCUUAACCUGGGGGCUGCAUUUGAUACGUGUUGUCUUGAGUUCGGAAGAGGGUCGUGGAAUUCCCAGUGUAGAGGUGAAAUUCGUAGAUAUUGGGAAGAACACCGGUGGCGAAGGCGGCGACCUGGUCCGACACUGACGCUGAGGCGCGAAAGCGUGGGGAGCAAACAGG
Molecule: ribosomal RNA, 253 nt
Filed under: uncultured bacterium
Lineage: Bacteria
Description: partial 16S ribosomal RNA
Rfam family: Bacterial small subunit ribosomal RNA
Source: RNAcentral